GAUCGGCCCGCGUCUGAUUAGCUAGUUGGUGAGGUAAUGGCUCACCAAGGCGACGAUCAGUAGCUGGUCUGAGAGGAUGAUCAGCCACAUUGGGACUGAGACACGGCCCAAACUCCUACGGGAGGCAGCAGUGGGGAAUAUUGGACAAUGGGGGCAACCCUGAUCCAGCCAUGCCGCGUGAGUGAUGAAGGCCCUAGGGUUGUAAAGCUCUUUUGUGCGGGAAGAUAAUGACGGUACCGCAAGAAUAAGCCCCGGCUAACUUCGUGCCAGCAGCCGCGGUAAUACGAAGGGGGCUAGCGUUGCUCGGAAUCACUGGGCGUAAAGGGUGCGUAGGCGGGUCUUUAAGUCAGGGGUGAAAUCCUGGAGCUCAACUCCAGAACUGCCUUUGAUACUGAGGAUCUUGAGUUCGGGAGAGGUGAGUGGAACUGCGAGUGUAGAGGUGAAAUUCGUAGAUAUUCGCAAG
This 463-nucleotide ribosomal RNA is filed under the name uncultured Pseudomonadota bacterium. RNAcentral's name for it is "bacterial SSU rRNA". It matches the Rfam family "Bacterial small subunit ribosomal RNA", at positions 224 to 704 of the family's 1533-position model. The record is from RNAcentral. Lineage: Bacteria; Pseudomonadati; Pseudomonadota.